Magallana angulata is the source of this 468-nucleotide long non-coding RNA. RefSeq lists it as uncharacterized. The record is from RefSeq and is a predicted model, not a curated record. NCBI's taxonomy places the organism in Eukaryota, Metazoa, Mollusca, Bivalvia, Ostreida, Ostreidae. The transcript has 3 exons.
GACACAUCUUGCAAAGUUGAUAGUGUUUCUUGGUUGUUUAAGAUACACACAAGAAUCAGCAUCGUGCAAGUAUUCUGAUGGAAAAUAAGUUGACUGGUUUAUCAUCUACAAAGUACCAAUGUUAACAAGUGAUGGGUAUCCUAUUAAAACAAGCUUACCCGAGUUUUUCUACAUGGAUACUGCUUUGCCAUCGUUUUCCUUCUCACAAAAAGAUAUCACAAAAACUAUCGAAAACCCUCUAUAUGAGACGCUGAAGGCACUAUACGAUCAGUCUCCAGAUAUCGUAACUUAUGCAAUGUAUAAUGACCAACCACCACCCACAGUUAAAGCUGCAGAUGGUAGACACGCCCACUCUAAAGGUUCGGAAUUUAAGUCAUUUAUGUUAUUUUUCCUUUUAAUAUACUACAUGUAGACUUUGACCCGUGCGUACACGGGUGGACACUGCAUGUGUUUUUGAAAUUUAUUAAA